Hordeum vulgare subsp. vulgare (domesticated barley) is the source of this 136-nucleotide non-coding RNA. The record is from Rfam. Lineage: Eukaryota; Viridiplantae; Streptophyta; Magnoliopsida; Poales; Poaceae.
AUUUUACUCCCUCCGUUCCAAAAUUCUUGUUUUAGAUUUGUUUAAAUAUGAAUGUAUCUAGUCAAGUUUUANNNNUUAGAUACAUCCAUUUCUAGACAAAGUUAAGGCAAUAAUUUUGGGACGGAGGGAGUACUAG